AGAUAAUAGAUACCCAGGUAGUCCACGCCGUAAACUAUGGAUGCUAGCUGUUAUCGGUAUCGACCCCGGUAGUAGCGAAAGCUAACGCGUUAAGCAUCCCGCCUGUGGAGUACGAGCGCAAGCUUAAAACAUAAAGGAAUUGACGGGGACCCGCACAAGCGGUGGAGCGUGUUGUUUAAUUCGACGGUAAACGAAGAACCUUACCCAGGCUUGACAUCCUGCUAAGAUUUCCGAAAGGAAAUUGUGCCUUCGGGCCGCAGUGACAGGUGCUGCAUGGUCGUCGUCAGCUUGUGUCGUGAGAUGUUUGGUUAAGUCCAUCAACGAGCGCAACCCUUAUAGUCAGUUGGAUUUUUCUGGCCAGACUGCCCCGGUAACGGGGAGGAAGGAGGGGAUGAUGUCAGAUCAUUAUUGCCCUUACGUCUGGGGCUACAAACACGCUACAAUGGCCGGUACAAAGGGCAGCCAACCCGCGAGGGGGUAGCAAAUCCCAUCAAAGCCGGUCUCAGUUCGGAUUGUAGGCUGAAACUCGCCUGCAUGAAGCUGGAA
Molecule: ribosomal RNA, 546 nt
Filed under: uncultured bacterium
Lineage: Bacteria
Description: bacterial SSU rRNA
Rfam family: Bacterial small subunit ribosomal RNA
Source: RNAcentral